RNAcentral lists this long non-coding RNA (689 nucleotides) under Brassica napus (rape). Its description in RNAcentral is "long non-coding RNA (BNAP_LNC005149)". The record is from RNAcentral. Lineage: Eukaryota; Viridiplantae; Streptophyta; Magnoliopsida; Brassicales; Brassicaceae.
AAAAUAAGAGUGAAGCACGUACUUACUUCUCCAACGAAAGAAAACAAACAAUUAAGGUAACUAUCAUCCAUCCACUUAAGCAAAAUAAUCGAUCCAGUUCUCAACGUUCUCAGCGUUUUUAUGUUUGCCACCACGAGAUUGGUGAUGAUGAUACAAAUAAUUAUAGUGUUGAUAAGGAGAGUAAGGAGGCGCAUACAUCAUCUGGUGAGGCAUCAUGGUUGGUUUUGAAAUGAAAUGAAAAUAGAGGUGAAAGAGAAAUCAGUGAGAUUAAAAUUCAUGGAUUUGGAAAAAUGAUUUUGAGAUUCGAAAUAAAAGAGAGAAGAAGUCUUUUGUUUAUUUAAAAUAAAGAAAGUAUUGAGAAGAGAAGAGAAAGAACCAUGGUUAGUUUUCUCUGGUUAGUCUUUGUGUAGUCUUGUCAAAUAUGAGAGCAUGAAAGACUUUACACAACCAUAAUGUGUGUGGCAAGCAGGAAGUGUCUUAUUGAGUAAUACAAAAGACAUAAAGUGUCAUAGAGAAAAAAAAAUUCCACAUAUAACGCUGCCGGACUGAUAUAUAAAAGAAAAUUCAUUUGUCGAUAGAGCAACCUCAAUGGUUUGAUACCAUGAAAAUAUCUAAAAAAAUAAUAAUAAUAGUAUUAUAAUUUCAGAUUUUUGUUUUGAUUUUUCUAUAAUAUAUGAAAUGUUAGUUAA